This 252-nucleotide ribosomal RNA is filed under the name uncultured bacterium. RNAcentral's name for it is "partial 16S ribosomal RNA". It matches the Rfam family "Bacterial small subunit ribosomal RNA", at positions 524 to 776 of the family's 1533-position model. The record is from RNAcentral.
UACGGAGGGUGCGAGCGUUGUCCGGAAUCACUGGGCGUAAAGGGCGCGUAGGCGGCGCGGUAAGCGUGCGGUGAAAGCCCGGGGCUCAACCCCGGGUCGGCCGUGCGGACUGCCGGGCUCGAGCACUGUAGAGGCGGGUGGAAUUCCGGGUGUAGCGGUGGAAUGCGUAGAGAUCCGGAAGAACACCGGUGGCGAAGGCGGCCCGCUGGGCAGUGGCUGACGCUGAGCGCGACAGCGUGGGGAGCAAACAGG